Molecule: long non-coding RNA, 1242 nt
Organism: Myodes glareolus (Bank vole)
Lineage: Eukaryota; Metazoa; Chordata; Mammalia; Rodentia; Cricetidae
Source: RefSeq, a predicted model, not a curated record
GCAAGGUCUCUACAAAACUCUGGCUGCCCUGGAACUUGCUUUGUAAACCAGGUUGGUCUUAACCUCAGAGAUCUGCCUGCCUUGGUCUCCGAAGCGUGGAAUUAAAGCCUUCACCCCGUGAUAUCUGACUCCGGGUUUUUAUUGACACCAAUUAGAAAUCAUGUUCCAGCUGCAUGAUAACUCCUGAACCACUAGAGGACGAUGCUCUUGUGAGCCCGACCAAGAGGAAAUAUGUACUCUAUCAAAACCCGCUCAUCACCAAAGAGGUCUCCGUGAAAGUUCUCGAAAAGCUGGGCAGAACGAUAAAAAAGGAGUGUAGCAAGCUGAAAAUUGUGACCGAAGUGGGUGCUAAAACGAAGCUCUGAGAAAGCUCCAGCUCUGCUCCGGGACACUAGAAGAGAUGCCCCAAAGACAGGACCUGCCAAUCAAAUUCAUUCGCUAGGAGAGAGCCUUAACUGAGUGCAGUGGAGGGGUCUACUGCUGCAAAAUGACACUUAGGGAUGCAUUUCCCCAUGGUCAGCCUGGGAGACACACAGAGACCGAUACAAAUGUGGUCCAGGAUGGCUAGCCUCCAGUACAAGCUGGCAGCAGGACUUGGCAGCAGCAUUCGCCUGGUACACUCCCUUUACAGUAAUGAAAUAUGCAGUCCUGAGGGGGUCAUGGAGUCUUGCACUAUGGUUCCAGAAGACUGCAGGGGCCAGACUGUGUGUGGCAGACUUGAAGCCCUGCUAGGGGCCCCUGGAGGUCACUCCAUUAAGCUGUGGUGAUGAAGCCUAAGCUUCACUGGAGACCCUGGGAUUUUGGAAAUGCCAGGACCAUGAGUUGUCUGCCAAGGAAAGCUGAAGGCAUAGAACACAACGGGCCCAAGAGGGAGGCCCUGCUUUCUGCAAGCAGCACAGCUGGAGCGGCGGGGCUGCCUAAACCCUCUGGAACCCAGAAGAUCCCCCCUCAAGAGCCGGAUGCCAGAUGCGGAGCUGCUGGAUUUGUUUGCUUUACUGGGAUUUUGGUCUUGCUUUGGUAUGGGCCCUUAUUGCUAUGUCUUAGUUUUCCCUUUUGGAAUGAGAAUGUUUCUUGUGUGCUAUUAUUUGUUGGAAGCAUGUCACUUGUUUUUUAUUUUAUAGAUCAAAAAUGGGACUUGGAAUUCAAACUUUCAGUGUUGGAGCUGUUCAAGGAUGAUGUUAAAGUUAAAACCUUCCUUUUUAUUUAAACAGAAAAGGGGAGAUGAUGUGGGAUUCCCCUCUG